Molecule: small nucleolar RNA, 107 nt
Filed under: Gossypium hirsutum (cotton)
Lineage: Eukaryota; Viridiplantae; Streptophyta; Magnoliopsida; Malvales; Malvaceae
Description: Plant small nucleolar RNA R71
Rfam family: Plant small nucleolar RNA R71
About the family: R71 is a member of the C/D box family of snoRNAs containing the C (UGAUGA) and D (CUGA) box motifs.
Source: Rfam by way of RNAcentral
AUCCCGUGGUGAAGGCAUUUAAGUAAUAGUUUCUUAAAUCACUCCCACGCCGCGUAUAGGGAUUCGGUGUCCAUCUGUUGGAAAGUGGUAAUCUCGUUCCUCAGCUU